AAAUCCAAAGUAUAAAUAAAUUGGGAAUCAAGAGGCAAUGCAUCAUUCAUCAUCCACGAACCGCGCCGCUCGGUAUCCCUUUCCUUGGAGCUGUAUUGUUUGUGCAAAGUGCCUGAGUUUGACAGAAUUCCAUUGGCCUUCCGGGGAGUCUGAGAAGUCUGAGGAGUCAGUUAAUUGGAUUGCUCUGGUUGUAAUUGCUCAAAAUCGGUUGAAUCACUUUUCAUUCUAGUUGGAUCAUUUUCCGCAGUAUUGGGCAAACACAUAAAAGUCCUCAUAAAUCCAAUUAAGGUAACUUACACAGCAUUAUGGGGAAACGGACAUUUCGGUGGAAAUUGCAGGGCAAGCAACAGUUGAUGGUAAAUCGAUUACCCGGUGAUAUUCAAUGAGUCCCGAGUGCAUUGAUGAGACAGCAGCCCGUCUGACAGAAGAACUGAGGCUCAAUCUCUGCCAGCCCCAUGGAGUCUCUAACGAGUUCUAAAACAUUUCGCCCAGCUAAACGAAGUUCAACGCACUGAAUAACAAUUGCGGCUGACGUUGCGGAAGACUGGAGCUAAGGCUAACUUGAGACGAGUCGAGACAGCAGGGCACCAACUGAAUUCUAAUGAGGCAGGUGCUUUUGGUCAUAUGCGGCGUAUACUUGAUGCAGGAUGCUCCCGAUUGCCAGUCGGAGAGCCGGUACUGGGCCACUAAUGAGCAGCUAAACAUUUGUCGACAAUCCAAAAGCCAGAUCAGCGCUAAUUAAUCGCUUUUUAAGCUACCCAACCGAAUUUGUCGCGCUAAUAAAUUCGCAUUUGUCAA
Long non-coding RNA from Drosophila ananassae, 798 nucleotides. RefSeq lists it as uncharacterized. The record is from RefSeq and is a predicted model, not a curated record. The transcript has 3 exons. NCBI's taxonomy places the organism in Eukaryota, Metazoa, Arthropoda, Insecta, Diptera, Drosophilidae.